Molecule: non-coding RNA, 71 nt
Organism: Parelaphostrongylus tenuis
Lineage: Eukaryota; Metazoa; Nematoda; Chromadorea; Rhabditida; Metastrongylidae
Source: the annotation of a GenBank genome assembly
GCAUCGGUAGUGCAGCGGCAGUGCACAUCCCUGAUAUGGGUGAAACGUCGGUUCGAUUCUCGCUUGAUGUC